UACGAAGGGUGCAAGCGUUACUCGGAAUUACUGGGCGUAAAGCGUGCGUAGGUGGUGAGUUAAGUCUGUCGUGAAAGCCCCGGGCUCAACCUGGGAAUGGCGAUGGAUACUGGCUCGCUAGAGUGCGGUAGAGGAGAGUGGAAUUCCCGGUGUAGCAGUGAAAUGCGUAGAGAUGUGGAGGAAUACCGAUGGCGAAGGCAGCCCCCUGGGAUAACACUGACGCUCAUGCACGAAAGCGUGGGAGCAAACAGG
RNAcentral lists this ribosomal RNA (252 nucleotides) under uncultured bacterium. RNAcentral's name for it is "partial 16S ribosomal RNA". It matches the Rfam family "Bacterial small subunit ribosomal RNA", at positions 524 to 776 of the family's 1533-position model. The record is from RNAcentral.